AAAAAGUCACAAUCAACAUUCAUUGCUGUCGGUGGGUUGUGAUGCUGAAGGGAAAACUCACGGAUCAAUGAAUGCAACUGUGAUUGGAACA
RNAcentral lists this microRNA precursor (91 nucleotides) under Alligator mississippiensis (American alligator). RNAcentral's name for it is "microRNA ami-mir-181b precursor (ami-mir-181b-3)". Its record names the gene ami-mir-181b-3. It matches the Rfam family "mir-181 microRNA precursor family". From Rfam's summary of the family: In this case the mature sequence comes from the 5' arm of the precursor. Lineage: Eukaryota; Metazoa; Chordata; Crocodylia; Alligatoridae. The record is from miRBase by way of RNAcentral.